This is a non-coding RNA of Styela clava, 384 nucleotides long. Lineage: Eukaryota; Metazoa; Chordata; Ascidiacea; Stolidobranchia; Styelidae. The record is from RefSeq and is a predicted model, not a curated record.
AAAACAAUGAGACCGUAACCGCGGCCCAUAAUCAAUACGCAGACGAGACAGCGGCCUGUCGGCUACAAUCCAGUUCCGUGAUCGAGCGCUGUGAUUCGGUCGAUGUAAAGUAUCAGACAGUACCGUGUUGAUGCGUUACUGGUAGGAAUAAUCCUGUUUUUGUUCUGGUCGUGAAUGGUAAUGUCGGCGAUGUAAUGCAUCAUAGUGUUAACAGCAAUGUUUCAGAGACGUCGGAGUGACCUAAGACUGGGUGGUUGGCGCUUCGUAGAAAGACAUCGUUUUCGUCCAAAAAAAAAAAAGAUUAGCGGAUGUUUUUAUUCCGUAAUGUUUUUUUCGAGACAAACUAUAAUUUCCAGUUUAAUUAAACGAUUGUUUGAUUCUCAA